Molecule: non-coding RNA, 26 nt
Filed under: Rattus norvegicus (Norway rat)
Lineage: Eukaryota; Metazoa; Chordata; Mammalia; Rodentia; Muridae
Source: RNAcentral
UGAGUAUUGGCCGAGGCCUGUCUGUC